RNAcentral lists this ribosomal RNA (576 nucleotides) under uncultured bacterium. Its description in RNAcentral is "bacterial SSU rRNA". It matches the Rfam family "Bacterial small subunit ribosomal RNA", at positions 77 to 666 of the family's 1533-position model. The record is from RNAcentral.
CUUAUAACAAUGGCUUUAGUGGCGGACUGGUGAGUAACACGUGAGCAACCUGCCUAUCAGAGGGGAAUAACAGUGAGAAAUCAUUGCUAAUACCGCAUAUGCCAUAAAUAUCACAUGAUGAAAGUGGGAAAGGAGUAAUCCGCUGAUAGAUGGGCUCGCGUCUGAUUAGAUAGUUGGUGGGGUAACGGCCUACCAAGUCGACGAUCAGUAGCCGGACUGAGAGGUUGAACGGCCACAUUGGGACUGAGAUACGGCCCAGACUCCUACGGGAGGCAGCAGUCGGGAAUAUUGCGCAAUGGAGGAGACUCUGACGCAGUGACGCNGUUUAUAGGAAGAAGGUUUUCGGAUUGUAAACUAUUGUCGUUAGGGAAGAUACAAGACAGUACCUAAGGAGGAAGCUCCGGCUAACUACGUGCCAGCAGCCGCGGUAAUACGUAGGGAGCAAGCGUUAUCCGGAUUUAUUGGGUGUAAAGGGUGCGUAGACGGGAAAGCAAGUUAGUUGUGAAAUCCCUCGGCUUAACUGAGGAACUGCAACUAAAACUACUUUUUCUUGAGUGGUUGGAGAGGAAAGUGGAA